GAUGAACGCUGGCGGCGUGCCUUAAGCAUGCAAGUCGAACGAUUUCAGUAGCAAUAUUGUUUUAGUGGCAGACGGGUGAGUAAUAUAUAGGAAUCUACCUCUACGUGGGGGAUAGCUCGCCGAAAGGCGGGGUAAUACCGCAUAUGGCCUACGGGUCAAAGUCCUUUACCGGACGCGAAGAGAGGAGCCUGUAUCCUAUCAGCUAGUUGGUGAGGUAAUGGCUCACCAAGGCUACGACGGGUAGGGGGUGUGAGAGCACGACCCCCCACAAGGACACUGAGACACGGGGUCCUACACCUACGGGUGGCAGCAACUGGGAAUCUUGCGCAAUGGACGAAAGUCUGACGCAGCGACGCCGCGUGUGGGAAGAAGGCCUUCGGGUCGUAAACCACUGUGGAAAGGGAAUAAAAAAUAGAAGGUACCUUUCUAGAAAGCACCUGCUAACUAACGUG
This 452-nucleotide ribosomal RNA is filed under the name uncultured bacterium. RNAcentral's name for it is "bacterial SSU rRNA". It matches the Rfam family "Bacterial small subunit ribosomal RNA", at positions 28 to 507 of the family's 1533-position model. The record is from RNAcentral.